CCUACGGGGGGCAGCAGUGAGGAAUAUUGGUCAAUGGACGAGAGUCUGAACCAGCCAAGUAGCGUGAAGGAUGACUGCCCUAUGGGUUGUAAACUUCUUUUAUAAAGGAAUAAAACGAGGCACGUGUGCCUGUUUGCAUGUACUUUAUGAAUAAGGAUCGGCUAACUCCGUGUCAGCAGCCGCGGUAAUACGGAGGAUCCGAGCGUUAUCCGGAUUUAUUGGGUUUAAAGGGAGCGUAGAUGGGUUGUUAAGUCAGUUGUGAAAGUUUGCGGCUCAACCGUAAAAUUGCAAUUGAUACUGGCAGUCUUGAGUACAGUUGAGGUAGGCGGAAUGCGUGGUGUAGCGGUGAAAUGCUUAGAUAUCACGAAGAACCCCGAUUGCGAAGGCAGCUUACUAAACUGUGACUGACAUUGAUGCUCGAAAGUGUGGGUAUCAAACAGGAUUAGAUACCCGGGUAGUC
Molecule: ribosomal RNA, 460 nt
Filed under: uncultured bacterium
Lineage: Bacteria
Description: partial 16S ribosomal RNA
Rfam family: Bacterial small subunit ribosomal RNA
Source: RNAcentral